AUGGACGCAGAGUUGGAGGCUUUCCGGCAGCAGGUGAUUGAGGGGGUCAGGAAGAACGGCUACUUCGAGGUCGACGAGGAGCCCUCGAAGGGCAGGGAGGAGGCUAAUGAAUACUCCAGGCAAGAAAUGGCUGAGAUCGACUUCAGCGAACUCCGUCUCCUUGAUGCUAGACCAGAUGUGCUACGGCCCAAAGUAUUUCCUUACGUUCCUCCUAAUAUCGAUGACGAGGACGCCGCUCUUCUAGACGAUAUUCCAAGCGAUGAUGAUUUUGAAGAGGACGAUGCUCUGCACAUCAACGAAGAGGACCUUGAAGGGGAAGCCGCCGACGCUCACAAGCUUGUUCCUCCUACUCAGUCCAGCUGA
RNAcentral lists this ribosomal RNA (363 nucleotides) under Triticum aestivum (bread wheat). RNAcentral's name for it is "partial small subunit ribosomal RNA". The record is from RNAcentral. Lineage: Eukaryota; Viridiplantae; Streptophyta; Magnoliopsida; Poales; Poaceae.